This 1083-nucleotide long non-coding RNA is filed under the name Oryctolagus cuniculus (rabbit). RNAcentral describes it as "lncRNA (ENSOCUG00000036139.1)". Lineage: Eukaryota; Metazoa; Chordata; Mammalia; Lagomorpha; Leporidae. The record is from RNAcentral.
AGUUGGCUUUCAAUCUUUAUCAGAUUGCCAGGGGAUCACAGCUGGAAAAUCAACCUAACAGUCAGACCUCAUUAAAAACAGGGUUUUGUUAAUCCUCUGCUGACAGAUUAUAAAGCUAAUCAAAACAGCAGUCACCCAAUAAGUUAGAAGUGGUGAUAAAGAGGGGCUGAGUCCUUACCGCCUAUACUAAAGCCUACCUCUGGAACAGAAAGAUUUUAGUGCAAGUAUUAUCCCUGAGAAAGCAUGAUCUUCUAUUUUUACUGACAGGAAGGGAAAGUACAAAGUUUUCACUUUAAUAUUGCUUCAGUUGACAUGGAUCAUACAAUAAUCCUCACUUCAGGCUGAAGUAUUUCUUUUAUGGUAUAAAAUAUGUAUUUUAUGCCAUACUUAACACAGCUGGGUUAGUUCUCCAUAAUAAUCUCAAACCUGGUAUCACUUCUGCCCUAGUCUACUUCCCAAAGGCCUACCCUUAGAAUAAACAUAAUAUGCAAUAUAUUCUUCAGAUGAAAGCCCUACUAACAUGCCAAUUUGAAUUCCUUUAUAGUGCAAACUCCAGGACCUAUUGUACAAUAUACUGGAUCCAGUAGUGGUAAGUCCCAUAAAUCCUCCCUUGUGUUUCCUCAUCUUCUUCAGUGUCUACAAGGUCCAUUCCCCAUCCUACCUGUGUCUAUUUGUGGUAAGAACAGCAGUUAAAGACGUGUUUCCAUGUGUCCCCCUUUCCACCUGCUGAGUUCUCCAGAAAUUUUUAAGAAAAAAACUAAUGAUGGUCUCUAUAACAAAUCUAGAAAAUUCUCUAAAUAGAGAAGGAAUAAUAAUGCAUUUUUCUAGUUCUUGACUGCUUUGUACUUUAUAAAAGGCUUACCCAGAGAUAGUUGAGACAAUGUAGAGAAAAUGAGAAAGCAGUUAAUGUGAUGCCUCUGGCUUUGGUAUUUUUGUUCAAGAUUACUUUGGCUAUUCAAGAGUUCUUAUAAUGUCAUAGACAUGUGGGGAUUUUUUCUAGUUUUUGUGAAGAAUCUCAUAGUAUUUUGUUGAAGACUGCACUGAAUCUGUAAAUCACUUUGAAUAAUAUGAACAUUUAAUAAU